AAGUUAUUUGUGCCGUGUAUUAGUUGCGGAGGGUCCGGCUAUUGUACCAUCGAUAGUACCAAACUCUUGAUACUAUCGAAUUUUCUGCCGUUAGAUCUACCUUUUGAUUAUUUUUAUCCGUUAGAUUAUACUAUUCAACCAACUACCUAUUCAAUCCUAAUAGAUCAUUAUUAUUUUAACCGUACAUUCUUUCAUCCAACAGCCGAAAACUCGAUAGUACGAAACACUGGUACUAUCGAUAGUAUAAUAGCAUAAUUCUAGCGCCGGACUAACAUGU
Molecule: long non-coding RNA, 277 nt
Filed under: Ananas comosus (pineapple)
Lineage: Eukaryota; Viridiplantae; Streptophyta; Magnoliopsida; Poales; Bromeliaceae
Description: long non-coding RNA (ACOM_LNC015504)
Source: RNAcentral